GACGAAGGAUGCAAGCGUUAUCCGGAUUCAUUGGGUUUAAAGGGAGCGUAGGUGGUCUUAUAAGUCAGUGGUGAAAUCUCUGGGCUUAACCCAGAAAUUGCCAUUGAUACUGUAGGACUUGAGUAUAGUUGCCGUUGGCGGAAUAUGACAUGUAGUGGUGAAAUACAUAGAGAUGUCAUAGAACACCGAUUGCGAAGGCAGCUAACGAAACUAUAACUGACACUGAGGCUCGAAAGUGUGGGGAUCAAACAGG
RNAcentral lists this ribosomal RNA (253 nucleotides) under uncultured bacterium. Its description in RNAcentral is "partial 16S ribosomal RNA". It matches the Rfam family "Bacterial small subunit ribosomal RNA", at positions 524 to 776 of the family's 1533-position model. The record is from RNAcentral. RNAcentral also lists the same sequence under 1 other name.